GAUGAACGCUUGCUACAGGCUUAACACAUGCAAGUCGAGGGGCAGCAUGGUCUUAGCUUGCUAAGGCCGAUGGCGACCGGCGCACGGGUGAGUAACACGUAUCCAACCUGCCGUCUACUCUUGGACAGCCUUCUGAAAGGAAGAUUAAUACAAGAUGGCAUCAUGAGUCCGCAUGUUCACAUGAUUAAAGGUAUUCCGGUAGACGAUGGGGAUGCGUUCCAUUAGAUAGUAGGCGGGGUAACGGCCCACCUAGUCUUCGAUGGAUAGGGGUUCUGAGAGGAAGGUCCCCCACAUUGGAACUGAGACACGGUCCAAACUCCUACGGGAGGCAGCAGUGAGGAAUAUUGGUCAAUGGGCGAGAGCCUGAACCAGCCAAGUAGCGUGAAGGAUGACUGCCCUAUGGGUUGUAAACUUCUUUUAUAAAGGAAUAAAGUCGGGUAUGGAUACCCGUUUGCAUGUACUUUAUGAAUAAGGAUCGGCUAACUCCGUGCCAGCAGCCGCGGUAAUACGGAGGAUCCGAGCGUUAUCCGGAUUUAUUGGGUUUAAAGGGAGCGUAGAUGGAUGUUUAAGUCAGUUGUGAAAGUUUGCGGCUCAACCGUAAAAUUGCAGUUGAUACUGGAUAUCUUGAGUGCAGUUGAGGCAGGCGGAAUUCGUGGUGUAGCGGUGAAAUGCUUAGAUAUCACGAAGAACUCCGAUUGCGAAGGCAGCCUGCUAAGCUGCAACUGACAUUGAGGCUCGAAAGUGUGGGUAUCAAACAGGAUUAGAUACCCUGGUAGUCCACACGGUAAACGAUGAAUACUCGCUGUUUGCGAUAUACAGCAAGCGGCCAAGCGAAAGCGUUAAGUAUUCCACCUGGGGAGUACGCCGGCAACGGUGAAACUCAAAGGAAUUGACGGGGGCCCGCACAAGCGGAGGAACAUGUGGUUUAAUUCGAUGAUACGCGAGGAACCUUACCCGGGCUUAAAUUGCGGAUGAAUUACGGUGAAAGCCGUAAGCCGCAAGGCAUCUGUGAAGGUGCUGCAUGGUUGUCGUCAGCUCGUGCCGUGAGGUGUCGGCUUAAGUGCCAUAACGAGCGCAACCCUUGUUGUCAGUUACUAACAGGUUCCGCUGAGGACUCUGACAAGACUGCCAUCGUAAGAUGUGAGGAAGGUGGGGAUGACGUCAAAUCAGCACGGCCCUUACGUCCGGGGCUACACACGUGUUACAAUGGGGGGUACAGAGGGCCGCUACCACGCGAGUGGAUGCCAAUCCCCAAAACCUCUCUCAGUUCGGACUGGAGUCUGCAACCCGACUCCACGAAGCUGGAUUCGCUAGUAAUCGCGCAUCAGCCACGGCGCGGUGAAUACGUUCCCGGGCCUUGUACACACCGCCCGUCAAGCCAUGGGAGCCGGGGGUACCUGAAGUGCGUAACCGCGAGGAGCGCCCUAGGGUAAAACUGGUGACUGGGGCUAAGUA
This 1455-nucleotide ribosomal RNA is filed under the name uncultured organism. RNAcentral's name for it is "SSU rRNA". It matches the Rfam family "Bacterial small subunit ribosomal RNA". The record is from RNAcentral.